GAUGAACGCUGGCGGCGUGCCUAAUACAUGCAAGUCGAGCGAACGGACGAGAAGCUUGCUUCUCUGAUGUUAGCGGCGGACGGGUGAGUAACACGUGGAUAACCUACCUAUAAGACUGGGAUAACUUCGGGAAACCGGAGCUAAUACCGGAUAAUAUUUUGAACCGCAUGGUUCAAAAGUGAAAGACGGUCUUGCUGUCACUUAUAGAUGGAUCCGCGCUGCAUUAGCUAGUUGGUAAGGUAACGGCUUACCAAGGCAACGAUGCAUAGCCGACCUGAGAGGGUGAUCGGCCACACUGGAACUGAGACACGGUCCAGACUCCUACGGGAGGCAGCAGUAGGGAAUCUUCCGCAAUGGGCGAAAGCCUGACGGAGCAACGCCGAGUGAGUGAUGAAGGUCUUCGGAUCGUAAAACUAUGUUAUUAGGGAAGAACAUAUGUGUAAGUAACUGUGCACAUCUUGACGGUACCUAAUCAGAAAGCCACGGCUAACUACGUG
RNAcentral lists this ribosomal RNA (497 nucleotides) under uncultured bacterium. Its description in RNAcentral is "partial 16S ribosomal RNA". It matches the Rfam family "Bacterial small subunit ribosomal RNA", at positions 28 to 507 of the family's 1533-position model. The record is from RNAcentral.